Molecule: transfer RNA, 82 nt
Filed under: Thermodesulfovibrionales bacterium
Lineage: Bacteria; Pseudomonadati; Nitrospirota; Thermodesulfovibrionia; Thermodesulfovibrionales
Description: tRNA-Leu
Rfam family: tRNA
About the family: Transfer RNA (tRNA) molecules are approximately 80 nucleotides in length. Their secondary structure includes four short double-helical elements and three loops (D, anti-codon, and T loops).
Source: RNAcentral
GCCGAAGUGGUGGAACUGGUAGACACGCACGUUUGAGGGGCGUGUGGAGAAAUCCAUGCGGGUUCGAGUCCCGCCUUCGGCA